Molecule: long non-coding RNA, 5615 nt
Filed under: Mytilus galloprovincialis (Mediterranean mussel)
Lineage: Eukaryota; Metazoa; Mollusca; Bivalvia; Mytilida; Mytilidae
Source: RNAcentral
AACUUAUGGAUUUAUUUUGUCUAUUCAGAUUAUACAUUUACAUUGUACACAUUGGUUCUAAGAUAAUAACAGCAAUGAAACAAAAAACAAGCUUGUUGUCAGGCUAUAACAAAGAGUAGCUGGUACACCUCUAUAAAUAUUUAUCAGAACUGUGUACCAAACACUUUAGGAAUAAGUUUGUAUCACUGUUAUCUUUAUUCAGGUUCCUUUAGAGGCUUCUAGUUUUUACAAUUUUUGUUUGUCUAUUAGAACACAUUUUUUACACACACAAAAAGAUUAAAUACGGCUAUAAAUCUUUAUAAACAGUUUUUUCAUACAAUGCAGAAAAGUUCAAUAUUUUUUUUUAUUUAGAAUGAAUAGGCUAAAAUCUUAUAUAAAUUUUCUGAAGAUUUUAUAUUUGAAAAACUGAAGAAAUACUUUUUUUCAUACACAAAACACAUGUUCAUAUAAAAUCCUUGGUUUGGUACACUCCAGACAUAAAAUGAUCAUUUGUGUUCCAGAUUUAUAACCUGAUACGUGGUUCUACAACAAGCUUGUUCUGGAACAACUUUUUAACAAGCAAAAUGAAUACAUUCAUUAUUAUAAAUAUUUUACAAUGUUUACAUUUAAAAUUUGAUGUAUAACCUUAUUUGAUCGGCCACAAACCAUGAUAUUAGAGCAGAAAAAAUCUCUACAAAAAGCAAACCAACUUCCAUACUAUCAACUGAUUCGUUCAUUUAAGAAACAAUGGAACAAAUUGGGAAUGUAUAUAUAUAUAUAUAAUAUUCUUAACAAAUCGAGGAUUUUUUUUCUCAAAAUCCAAGCUAAUUUUGUUCCUUAAAAAAUGUACAAACCAGAAACUUUCUUUCCAUUUUCAUGACAACUUAUUAAAAUCAAGCAAACUUACAUCUAGCAAGGUUCAUUUCUCCCUUCUUCCAAAGAUUCUUAAGGUGGUUCCUAACACCUUGACUAAUAUUAAAUAGCUCAAUCAUUUUUCCAAAUAAAUGGUCAAAAUAUUUACUUUGGACCCUUUGAUUUUUUUUUUAAACUUGAGCCACGCUCUUUUUUUGGAGAAUUUCAUUGGAUAUAUCGCAGUUUGGCACACACUAGUUUUUCCCACUGAGCAGUUUAAUAUUUCCCAAACAAUUGAUUAUGAUUAUAAUGUUCAGUUGAUUUUAAAAGAGUUAUCUCCCUGUACUGUUCUGUUCCACCUUAAAGCAAUAUAAUGAUUAAUUACACAAAGUUAAAUUUUGCAUGGUGACAUUUUAAUGCUUGAAUGACCAUCGCCAGAAAAAUGGAUGUUAAACAGAUGUAGGCCCAAUGACAGCUUUUGCAUUAGGGCUAUUCCAUUUAAAUGUAUGGGGGAGGAUAGUAAUGGACUAAAAAAAUCCUACAACCAAGAACCAUUUUUUAGAUAAUUUUGCAUAAUGGUAAUAGAUGCAUACUGAAAAGGACCUAUGACCCACAUUCAAUAAUUAAACUUCCCUUUCUACCCUCAAACAUUUUAAUGGAAUAGUCCUUAUCAGUAUACUACUAACAUCAUGUGCAUACCAAGGACAAAAAUACUCUUUAAAAUUGUCACGAAAAUGAAACAAUUUUUGAAGAAAAAGAUUUUGUUUUACUUUAUAAAGUGGUGGAAAAAUAAACAAUACUCUAGUCAACACAAAAAUAAAACUAUAUAGCACUUUCUAUUAAUUAUCUAAUAAUGAUAUACAUAUAUAACAAGAGUUCUCUCAAAUGCCUAGGAUAUGCUACAUACAUAAAAUAAAAACAUAUUUAUACACGUCUAUAAAGUCAACCUUAGAAAACCUUUGGCGACUACAUUAUUUAAACUCCAUUUAUUGCACAUAAAAACUUUAAGACUCUCACUGCAUCAAGCUGCCGUGUUGCAGUAUGACCUCCAACCUAUACAAAACACUACAAUUUCUAUAAUUUUAAUGUUUUAAAUCUUUAUUCUUGUUAUAUGGAUAACGAAAGUCAAUCAACACUUCUUGUUUGGUUGCACAAUUGACCUUAUUUCUCCAAAACAAUUUACCUAACUUAUAUAAAUAUACUAAAGUUUUAAUAAACUUUAUUUCAAUAAAAAAAAAAAUUGCUUUAAAAAUAAAUGCCACUUUCGACACUUUUGGCUAUAUAUAUAUAGUGGUGGUCAGUUUAUAAUUGUGGAGGAUGCCCGAGAGCCUGGGGAGAACCACUGACCUUUGGUAGGUAACUGGUAAUCCUAAUCAAUUAAGAUUGGGAGUAUUGGCGGAUCCAGGGGGGGGGGGGGGGGGUUCCAGGGGUUGGAACCCUCCUUUUUUUUUGACCGCUCAAUGCAUUUGAAAUGGCUGGAUCCGCCCCUGGGGAGAACUUAAACCCCUUAGCCACUUCACUAAAAAAACAUUGAAUUUCAAAUGACAUGACAAAGCUUAAGAACCCCACUGUUGAGAUAUGCAGUCUUCAUGAUGAACUGUUAAAUCUACAGGCCCCCGGAGCUCAAUUUUAGAAAAUGUUUAGUUAGAUUCUGUUUGCCUGCAAUUUUACAAAGCCUGAGCUGCCGUUCAGAGUGAAGACUGGAUAUGGCAAAGAUGUAAAUAAAGAUCUGCUGUUGUAUAUUAAAGUUCUUUAAAGCAGAAUUAAGCAACAAAAAAUGUUAAACUAGACAUGACAGUGUCCAUACAAUGGCAACAUCCUACACUGACUUUGGCAAAUAAAUAAAUACAACCAACACAAAUAUCCUAAGGAUCUCACAAUCAAUACAUUACCAAGCUCAUUUUAUUUGGAACAAUUCACCAACUAUAAAACAUGUUUAUGUUGUAUCAACACCAAUCUUAUUAAAAUAAGUUCUCAUCACUUGCUCCUCGAUUUUUUAUAUGUCACACGGCGACAUAUAAAAAAUCGAGGAGCAAGUGAUGAGAACUUAUUUUAAUAAGAUUGUAUCAACACCAACUAUAUAAUAUGUUAAUGUUGUAUCAACACCAACUACUGCAGAUUCAUUGUCCUUCGUUGGAUACAAAUUUACGUGGAUUUCGUGGGUACAGGUGAAACACAAAUUUUCAAGGAAUUACAAACUUUCCACAAGGUUGUAUAACCAAGAAAUUAAAUGUCCACAAAAAUACAAGUUUUCAUCAAACCACGAAACCUGGUACCCACAAAAAUAAAUGACUCCACAGUAUGUAAUAUGUUAAUGUUGUAUAAACACUAACUAUAGCACUUCAACAGAGUAUUUUGUUCACUAAACUUCACUAUAUAGCACAACUCUAGACACACAUUUUUAUUAAAUGUCAAAGAAGAAAGCAUUAUAUCAUAGAUUACAAAUUCAAAAUAUAUAUUAUAAACAAUGAACUAGAAAGAUUAGAUAUUACUCUGCCCUUAAUGAUCCAGCAGUGUUAUGAAUGGACAAAUAACAUGGAAACUUAUCUCAAUAACUUUUCUCCUAUUCAACAAGUUUUGUGAAAAAAUAGACUGGCCAUCAAUGCCCCUUUUUCAUUUCAUUUUAUUUCAUGCCAUCUUAAUGCCAAAUCCAUUCCAAAGAUAUUUCUUGAAAACAUGCUCACAACGCCAAUGAAUUCUUAGUAGGUAGUAAGUCUUCCCAUGCCCAACUCAAACAAUUUUAUCAUUUGAAUCUAAAUUAUGGGUUUUAUCGUUUUAUAGAAAGAAGGGAAUACUAAAAUUGAUCAAAUUAAAAUAUUAUCCCAAAAGACAAAUUUUUUUCAAAAUUAAUAUUGUUUUAUAUUCAUGACAUGGCAUUGAAGCCUUUAAACAGAUGCAGAAAAACUUCAGAUUUCUUUUAUUUUGCCUGAUACUAUUUUUAACAACAAAGCAAAGCUAAAGGUGUAGAUGUUCACCUUUGUUUAUAUAUACACUAAACUACUGUGGAUUCUUAAAUAUUCGUUGGAUACCAAUUUUCAUGGAUUUCGCAGGUACAACGGAUCCACGAAUUUAAAUUUUGCAAAUUUUCUAAAGGAAUGGAUGCAGACUUUGCCAAAACCAUGAAAUUAGAUAUCCACAAAUAUAUAUGCAAGUUUUUUUUUUCAAACAACGAAAAUUGGUACCCACGAAAAUAAAUGAAUCCACAUUACAUUAAUCUAUGAACAAAUUUAAACCAAUGUUGUACAUUUUUCAUUGUACAAAUGGAAAGAUAAAUCCUGUUCAAUGUAUGUCUACUUGUAAAUAGUGUAGCAAUUUUCAAUGCCUACAUGAAAAGAGUGUAGGCCACUUCACUGUCUACGUGAAAAGAGAAUAGCAAUUUCAACUGUCUAUAUUUUCACUGUCUACAUGGAUAGAAUGUAGCAAUGUUCAAAGUCUACAUGAAAAGAGUAUAGCCCGGUUCAAUGUCUACAUGAAAAGAGUAUAGCCCUGUUCAGUGUCUACAUGAAACAAGAGUGAACACGCUGAAAUGUCUCGCCUUCUAUACUAAUCAUUGAUAUUAUGUUGAUAGUCCUAAGUAAAAAGCUAAGCUUUAUAACAACUGUACCAUAAACUUAACAUUAACCAAGAUAACUAAACAAAGACCAAAUGAACCUUGAAAAUGAGGUCAAGGUCAGAUGAACCAUGCCAGGCAGACAUGUACAGCUAACAAUGCUUCUAUACAACAUAUAUAGUUGACCUAUUACUUAUAGUUUAAGAAAAAUAGACCAAAACACAAAAACUUAACACUGUGCAAUGAACUGUGAAAAUGAGGUCACGGUCAAAUAAAACCUGCGCGACUGACAUAAAGAUCAUUAAAUAUUUCCAUACACCAAAUAUAGUUGACCUAUGGCAUAUAGUAUUAGAUAAAAAGACCAAAACUCAAAAACUUAAUUUGACCACUGAACCAUGAAAAUGAGGUCAAGGUCACAUGACAUCUGCCCGCUAGACAUGUACACCUUACAAUCAUUCCAUACAACAAAUAUAGUAGACCUAUUGCAUAUAGUAUGAGAACAACAGACCAAAACACAAAAACUUAACUAUAACCACUGAACCAUGAAAAUGAGGUCAAGGUCAGAUGACACCUGCCAGUUGGACAUGUACACCUUACAGUCCUUCCAUACACCGAAUAUACUAGCCCUAUUGCUUAUAGUAUCUGAGAUAUGGACUUGACCACCAAAACUUAACCUUGUUCACUGAUCCAUGAAAUGAGGUCGAGGUCAAGUGAAAACUGUCUGACAGACAUUAGGACCUUGCAAGGUACGCACAUAUCAAAUAUAGUUAUCCUAUUACUUAUAAUAAGAGAGAAUUCAACAUUACAAAAAAUUUGAACUUUUUUUCAAGUGGUCACUGAACCAUGAAAAUGAGGUCAGGGACAUUGGACAUGUGACUGACGGAAACUUCGUAACAUGAAGCAUCUAUAUACAAAGUAUGAAGCAUCCAGGUCUUCCACCUUCUAAAAUAUAAAGCUUUUAAGAAGUUAGCUAACGCCGCCGCCGUAGCCGCCGGAUCACUAUCCCUAUGUCAAGCUUUCUGCAACAAAAGUUGCAGGCUCGACAAAAAGUAUAGCCCUGUUUAAUGUCUACAUGAAAAAAGUAUAGCCGUGUUCAAUGUAUACAUGAAAAAAGUAUAGCCAUGUUCAAUGUAUACAUAAAAUAGUUUUAUACUGUUCGAUGUCUACAUCAAAAUAUCUAUAACGCUUUUGGAUAGUCAAACUAUGUUCAAUAUUUGUGAGAAAAAAAAACUGA